GUUAUGGUGGCCUAAAUGGUUAGAGAGUCCGCCUUGGAUGCGGAUGGUUGCGGGUUCGAAUCCCGGCCGAGUCACAACA
Non-coding RNA from Potamilus streckersoni, 79 nucleotides. Lineage: Eukaryota; Metazoa; Mollusca; Bivalvia; Unionida; Unionidae. The record is from the annotation of a GenBank genome assembly.